Molecule: ribosomal RNA, 795 nt
Filed under: uncultured Rubrobacter sp.
Lineage: Bacteria; Bacillati; Actinomycetota; Rubrobacteria; Rubrobacterales; Rubrobacteraceae
Description: bacterial SSU rRNA
Rfam family: Bacterial small subunit ribosomal RNA
Source: RNAcentral
AGAGUUUGAUCCUGGCUCAGGACGAACGCUGACGGCGUGCUUUAGGCAUGCAAGUCGAACGAGAAAGCCCUUCGGGGUGAGUAAAGUGGCGAACGGGUGAGUAACACGUGGGCAACCUGCCCCUCGCAGGGGGACAACCGGAGGAAACUCCGGCUAAUACCCCGUACGCUUGUUGGAUCGCAUGGUCCGGCAAGGAAAGGUAGCUUCGGCCAUCCGGCGAGGGAUGGGCCCGCGUUGCAUUAGCUAGUUGGUGGGGUAAAGGCUCACCAAGGCGACGAUCAGUAGCUGGUCUGAGAGGACGAUCAGCCACACUGGGACUGAGACACGGCCCAGACUCCUACGGGAGGCAGCAGUGGGGAAUUUUCCACAAUGGGCGAAAGCCUGAUGGAGCGACGCCGCGUGCGGGAGGAAGCCUUUCGGGGUGUAAACCGCUUUUCUCAGGGAUGAAACGGUGGGGUAACCCACCUAAGACAGUACCUGAGGAAUAAGCAUCGGCUAACUACGUGCCAGCAGCCGCGGUAAUACGUAGGAUGCAAGCGUUGUCCGGAUUUACUGGGCGUAAAGCGCGCGCAGGCGGCAGCUUAAGUAAGGUGUGAAAUAUCCCUGCUCAACGGGGAGGGUGCACUUUAGACUGGGCAGCUAGAGGUCGGUAGAGGGUGGUAGAAUUGCUGGUGUAGCGGUGAAAUGCGUAGAGAUCAGCAGGAAUACCCGUGGCGAAGGCGGCCACCUGGGCCGAACCUGACGCUGAGGCGCGAAGGCUAGGGGAGCGAACGGGAUUAGAUACCCUGGUAGUCC